Molecule: ribosomal RNA, 679 nt
Filed under: Thamnogalla crombiei
Lineage: Eukaryota; Fungi; Ascomycota; Leotiomycetes; Helotiales; Cordieritidaceae
Description: LSU rRNA
Rfam family: Eukaryotic large subunit ribosomal RNA
Source: RNAcentral
UUUGAAAUCUGGCCCCCUUGCGGGGGUCCGAGUUGUAAUUUGCAGAAGANGCUUCGGGCGUGGCGNCGGUCCAAGUUCCUUGGAACAGGGCGUCGGAGAGGGUGAGAAUCCCGUACGUGGCUGCGCGCCUACGCCCGUGUGAAGCUCUUUCGACGAGUCGAGUUGUUUGGGAAUGCAGCUCUNAACGGGUGGUAAAUUUCAUCUAAAGCUAAAUACCGGCCAGAGACCGAUAGCGCACANGUAGAGUGAUCGAAAGAUGAAAAGCACUUUGGAAAGAGAGUUAAACAGUACGUGAAAUUGUUGAAAGGGAAGCGCUUGCCACCAGACUCGCGCGCGGUCGAUCAUCCGGGGCUCGCCCCGGUGUACGCGGUCGCGCGCGGGCCAGCAUCGGUUUCGGCGGUCGGAUAAUGGCCCCGGGAAUGUGGCUCCCCUCGGGGAGUGUUAUAGCCCGGGGCGCCAUGCGACCCGCCGGGAUCGAGGAACGCGCUCCGGCUCGGAUGCUGGCGUAAUGGUUGCAAGCGACCCGUCUUGAAACACGGACCAAGGAGUCUAAUAUUUAUGCGAGUAUUUGGGCGUCAAACCCACAUGCGCNAUGAAAGUGAACGGAGGUGAGAACCCGCCAGGGCGCAUCAUCGACCGAUCCUGAUGUCUUCGGAUGGAUUUGAGUAAGAGCAUAACU